RNAcentral lists this ribosomal RNA (678 nucleotides) under uncultured crenarchaeote. RNAcentral describes it as "bacterial SSU rRNA". It matches the Rfam family "Archaeal small subunit ribosomal RNA", at positions 102 to 783 of the family's 1478-position model. The record is from RNAcentral. Lineage: Archaea; Thermoproteati; Thermoproteota.
AGUCAACAUGCCCAGGGGACGUGGAUAACCUCGGGAAACUGAGGAUAAACCGCGAUAGGUCAUCACUUCUGGAAUGGGUAAUGACUUAAACCUAUAUGGCCCCUGGAUUGGACUGCGGCCGAUCAGGCUGUUGGUGAGGUAAUGGCCCACCAAACCUGUAACCGGUACGGGCUCUGAGAGGAGGAGCCCGGAGAUGGGCACUGAGACAAGGGCCCAGGCCCUAUGGGGCGCAGCAGGCGCGAAACCUCUGCAAUAGGCGAAAGCUUGACAGGGUUACUCUGAGUGAUUUCCGUUAAGGAGAUCUUUUGGCACCUCUAAAAAUGGUGCAGAAUAAGGGGUGGGCAAGUCUGGUGUCAGCCGCCGCGGUAAUACCAGCACCCCGAGUGGUCGGGACGUUUAUUGGGCCUAAAGCAUCCGUAGCCGGUUCUACAAGUCUUCCGUUAAAUCCACCUGCUUAACAGAUGGGCUGCGGAAGAUACUAUAGAGCUAGGAGGCGGGAGAGGCAAGCGGUACUCGAUGGGUAGGGGUAAAAUCCGUUGAUCCAUUGAAGACCACCAGUGGCGAAGGCGGCUUGCCAGAACGCGCUCGACGGUGAGGGAUGAAAGCUGGGGGAGCAAACCGGAUUAGAUACCCGGGUAGUCCCAGCUGUAAACGAUGCAGACUCGGUGAUGAGUUGGC